RNAcentral lists this long non-coding RNA (316 nucleotides) under Panax ginseng (ginseng). Its description in RNAcentral is "long non-coding RNA (PGIN_LNC011709)". The record is from RNAcentral. Lineage: Eukaryota; Viridiplantae; Streptophyta; Magnoliopsida; Apiales; Araliaceae.
UUAAGCUUUCUUCAUCUCUUAAUAUUACUUACUAUUAGCACCUAAGGAUUCAUUUAAGUGAUACUUAAGCUUUUAUUGUUUGUUGCUUCUAUAUCCUAGCAAGCAAUUGGUGGGUACAAUUAUAGGUAGCAUUCUUGCAAUUCCUCAUUCUUAUAUAUGAACUGUUUGUUCCUUUGAUUUAUGUGGAAAGUUUGAUAUGUGCAGGUGAGAUGCAUUUAUGAUGGGUUAACCAUAUGAUCACAGUCAAAUUAACUGUUAUUGCAUCUGUCUAUCCACAUCAUUUCAAUGUGAUUCCUACCUAUAUUGAAUAUUCCAA